This is a non-coding RNA of Jatropha curcas, 1612 nucleotides long. The record is from RefSeq and is a predicted model, not a curated record. Lineage: Eukaryota; Viridiplantae; Streptophyta; Magnoliopsida; Malpighiales; Euphorbiaceae.
AAAAUGACUUAGGUUUAUUUCCUUGUUAAUAUAGCUGAAUGAUUGCUUUAUGAGUUAAAACUGUAUACAUAUAUUGAUCCAUUAGUUAAAAGGUAAUCCCUUAUCUAAUUAUUAAUUUCGUUUUAUUUUUGUAUUUUAACUAGUUAAGUUUAUCCCAAUUCUCUCUUGGGGUUAACUUUUGAUUUUGAGACAUUCUUUCUUGAUCAAUUUGAUUCCUUAAUAUGGUUUUAUAAUUUUUUAGCUUAUUCAUUCAGUUACAGUAGCAUGGAAUAGAGCUCUUAUUUAUGCAAUCAACCAGCUAUUAAAUGAGUCAGCCACGCUUUAUUUUAUUUUUUAGAUUUUUUUCUUAUUUUGUUAUUUCUUUCUUUUUCUUUCUUCUUUCCUGCGUUGGUUUUCUUUUUCGUUUUGCUUUCUUUCCUGCGUUUGUUUUCUGCUGUUUCUUGCGUUUGUUUUCUUCUCUGCUCAGCUUGGUUAGGUAAGUUUCGAACUUCUUUUUUGUUUUUCUUUGUUUCUUUUUUAUUUUAUUCCCUUUCUUUUUUUUCUACUGUUUUUUCCCCUUUCGUUUGUAUUUUCUUUGCUCAAUUUCAAAGAAGGGCAAGGGAGAGGAAGCGGGAUUUCACAGUAGAGGUAAGUCAUAAAUUUGCUUUUUGAAGUAUUUUUUUCAUUUUGCUUUGUUUCCUGUGUUUGUUUUCUGCUGUUUCCUGCGUUUGUUUUCUUCUUUGCUCAGCUUGGUUAAAUAUGUUUCGAACUUCUUCUUUGCUUUUCUUUGUUUCUUUUUUGUUUUAUUUUCUUUCUUUUUUUACUGUUUUUUCCCUUUUGUCUGUAUUUUCUUUGCUCAAUUUCGGAAAAGAGCAAGGGAGAGGAAGCGGGAUUUCAUAGCAGAGCAGUAGCAGUGAAAUUUCUUUUGUUGUAGAUCGAAAUUUUGAAAGCGAUCGUGUGGAACCCUUGAGCAAUCGCCUUUCGGAGAAAAUCGAGCUAUAAAGUGCUAAGCUGGUAUAUUACUUCUCUAUCAUUGGUGUUCCUUUUUUCAACAGAUAUCAGAGUUCUCAUUGUUUUGAAGCUUCCUUAGUUAUUUACCAGGUUAAGGCAACUGUAGAAAAUGUUGAUGGAGCUGUUCGAGAGCUUCCUGAUGCCAACUUGGUAAGAGACUAGAAGAUUUAUGGGCAAUCCACUCUCAGCCUAUCCAUCCACAGCCUCACAAAAGGGACAAUCAUUCUUUGGAUGGCAAUACAGAAGGUGAAAAAAUAGUUUCGGAACAUUUCAAGCCCAUAAGAACUUUGGGUUGUGGUGAUACUGGCAGUGAUCAUUUGGUGGAACUGAAAAGUACAGGCCAACUGUAUGCUAUGAAGGCAAUGAAAAAAUAUCUAUGAUGCAGAAACGUAAUAAGUGACUGAAGAUCGGUGCAUCGAGGACGGAGGUGGCAGAAAAGAAUAAAGAGAAUAGAGAGGAAAUUGAAGAGAUGAUAAACAUUGGUGCUUUAGAGAAAAGGCAUUGAGCUAUUCAGUAACAGGAUUGGGAACCUUUACUACCAAAGCAAUGAUUAUGGACCCGUAUCUAAAGGACAAAAAUGUAAGUUUGACUACUUUCUAUAUUUUGGAUAUAAUUUCUUUAU